UACGGGGGGGGGCAAGCGUUGUUCGGAAUUACUGGGCGUAAAGGGCUCGUAGGCGGCCAACUAAGUCGGAUGUGAAAUCCCCAGGCUUAACCUGGGAACUGCAUCCGAUACUGGAUGGCUUGAAUUCGGGAGAGGGAUGCAGAAUUCCAGGUGUAGCGGUGAAAUGCGUAGAUAUCAGGAGGAACACCGGUGGCGAAGGCGGAUCUCUGGGCCAUUACUGACGCUGAGGAAGCGAAAGCGUGGGGAGCGAACAGG
RNAcentral lists this ribosomal RNA (255 nucleotides) under uncultured bacterium. RNAcentral's name for it is "partial 16S ribosomal RNA". It matches the Rfam family "Bacterial small subunit ribosomal RNA", at positions 524 to 776 of the family's 1533-position model. The record is from RNAcentral.